Small nuclear RNA from Callithrix jacchus (white-tufted-ear marmoset), 110 nucleotides. The record is from Ensembl. NCBI's taxonomy places the organism in Eukaryota, Metazoa, Chordata, Mammalia, Primates, Cebidae.
GUGUUCACUUCGGCAGCACAUAUACUAAAACUGCAAUGAUACAGAGAUUAGCAUGGCCCCUGUGCACAGAUGACAUGCACAUGCACAUUCAUAAAGCAUUCCAUAUUUUU